RNAcentral lists this ribosomal RNA (34 nucleotides) under Sporothrix sp. FMR 9335. RNAcentral's name for it is "partial 18S ribosomal RNA". The record is from RNAcentral. Lineage: Eukaryota; Fungi; Ascomycota; Sordariomycetes; Ophiostomatales; Ophiostomataceae.
UUGACAAGUUUCCGUGGUACCAGGGAGGAUCAUA